Molecule: ribosomal RNA, 1154 nt
Filed under: human gut metagenome
Description: bacterial SSU rRNA
Rfam family: Bacterial small subunit ribosomal RNA
Source: RNAcentral
CGAGGAUAACUACUGGAAACGGUAGCUAAAACUGGAUAGGAUAUAUUAAGGCAUCUUGAUAUAUUUAAAAGUCCUUCUGGGAAUGCUUUGAGAUGGUCCUGCGGCGCAUUAGCUAGUUGGUGAGGUAGUAGCUUACCAAGGCGACGAUGCGUAGCUGAGCUGAGAGGCCAAACAGCCACACUGGGACUGAGACACGGCCCAGACUCCUACGGGAGGCAGCAGUAGGGAAUUUUCGGCAAUGGGGGAAACCCUGACCGAGCAAUGCCGCGUGAAUGAUGAAAUUCUUCGGAAUGUAAAAUUCUGUUGUGAGGGAAGAAAGGUAGUAUCAGGAAAUGGGUAUUACUUGACGGUACCUUACUAGAAAGCCCCGGCUAACUAUGUGCCAGCAGCCGCGGUAAUACAUAGGGGGCGAGCGUUAUCCGGAAUUAUUGGGCGUAAAGCGUGCGUAGGCGGCCGUUUAAGUCUGUCGUGAAAGCCCACAGCUUAACUGUGGAGGGUCGAUGGAAACUGGAUGGCUUGAAUCUAGAAGAGGUAAGUGGAAUUCCAUGUGUAGCGGUAAAAUGCUUAGAUAUAUGGAGGAACACCAGUGGCGAAGGCGGCUUACUGGUCUAGCAUUGACGCUGAGGCACGAAAGCGUAGGUAGCAAACAGGAUUAGAUACCCUGGUAGUCUACGCUGUAAACGAUGAGCACUAAGUGUCGGACGUAAGUUCGGUGCUGUAGUUAACGCAUUAAGUGCUCCGCCUGGGGAGUACGGUCGCAAGACUGAAACUCAAAGGAAUUGACGGGGACUCGCACAAGCGGUGGAGCAUGUGGUUUAAUUCGACGCAACGCGAAAAACCUUACCAGGCCUUGACAUCCCUAUGACCGCUCUAGAGAUAGAGUUUCCUCUUCGGAGGUAUAGGUGACAGGUGGUGCAUGGUUGUCGUCAGCUCGUGUCGUGAGAUGUUGGGUUAAGUCCCGCAACGAGCGCAACCCUUAUCAUUAGUUGCUAACAUUAAGUUGAGCACUCUAAUGAGACUGCCAGCGACAAGUUGGAGGAAGGUGGGGAUGACGUCAAAUCAUCAUGCCCCUUAUGUCUUGGGCUACACACGUGCUACAAUGGCCGGUACAAAGAGAAGCGAAAUUGUGAAAUGGAGCAAAUCUCAAAAAGCCG